This 253-nucleotide ribosomal RNA is filed under the name uncultured bacterium. RNAcentral describes it as "partial 16S ribosomal RNA". It matches the Rfam family "Bacterial small subunit ribosomal RNA", at positions 524 to 776 of the family's 1533-position model. The record is from RNAcentral.
UACGGAGGGUGCAAGCGUUAAUCGGAAUUACUGGGCGUAAAGCGUGCGCAGGCGGUUAUGCAAGACAGAUGUGAAAUCCCCGGGCUCAACCUGGGAACUGCAUUUGUGACUGCAUAGCUAGAGUACGGUAGAGGGGGAUGGAAUUCCGCGUGUAGCAGUGAAAUGCGUAGAUAUGCGGAGGAACACCGAUGGCGAAGGCAAUCCCCUGGACCUGUACUGACGCUCAUGCACGAAAGCGUGGGGAGCAAACAGG